AGAGCGAACGCUGGCGGCAGGCUUAACACAUGCAAGUCGAGCGGGCGUAGCAAUACGUCAGCGGCAGACGGGUGAGUAACGCGUGGGAACGUACCUUUUGGUUCGGAACAACCCAGGGAAACUUGGGCUAAUACCGGAUAAGCCCUUACGGGGAAAGAUUUAUCGCCAAAAGAUCGGCCCGCGUCUGAUUAGCUAGUUGGUGAGGUAACGGCUCACCAAGGCGACGAUCAGUAGCUGGUCUGAGAGGAUGACCAGCCACAUUGGGACUGAGACACGGCCCAAACUCCUACGGGAGGCAGCAGUGGGGAAUAUUGGACAAUGGGCGCAAGCCUGAUCCAGCCAUGCCGCGUGAGUGAUGAAGGCCCUAGGGUUGUAAAGCUCUUUGUGCGGGAAGAUAAUGACGGUACCGCAAGAAUAAGCCCGGCUAACUUCGUGCCAGCAGCCGC
Molecule: ribosomal RNA, 446 nt
Filed under: uncultured bacterium
Lineage: Bacteria
Description: SSU rRNA
Rfam family: Bacterial small subunit ribosomal RNA
Source: RNAcentral